RNAcentral lists this transfer RNA (69 nucleotides) under Cynoglossus monopus. Its description in RNAcentral is "tRNA-Arg". It matches the Rfam family "tRNA". From Rfam's summary of the family: Transfer RNA (tRNA) molecules are approximately 80 nucleotides in length. Their secondary structure includes four short double-helical elements and three loops (D, anti-codon, and T loops). Further hydrogen bonds mediate the characteristic L-shaped molecular structure. tRNAs have two regions of fundamental functional importance: the anti-codon, which is responsible for specific mRNA codon recognition, and the 3' end, to which the tRNAs corresponding amino acid is attached (by aminoacyl-tRNA synthetases). tRNAs cope with the degeneracy of the genetic code in two manners: having more than one tRNA (with a specific anti-codon) for a particular amino acid; and 'wobble' base-pairing, i.e. permitting non-standard base-pairing at the 3rd anti-codon position. Lineage: Eukaryota; Metazoa; Chordata; Actinopteri; Pleuronectiformes; Cynoglossidae. The record is from RNAcentral.
AAACAUCUAGUUUAUAUAAAACAUUUGAUUUCGGCUCAAAAACUUGUGGUUAAACUCCGCAGUUGUUUA